RNAcentral lists this ribosomal RNA (477 nucleotides) under Candidatus Scalindua brodae. RNAcentral describes it as "bacterial SSU rRNA". It matches the Rfam family "Bacterial small subunit ribosomal RNA", at positions 365 to 832 of the family's 1533-position model. RNAcentral also lists the same sequence under 1 other name. The record is from RNAcentral. Lineage: Bacteria; Pseudomonadati; Planctomycetota; Candidatus Brocadiia; Candidatus Brocadiales; Candidatus Scalinduaceae.
UUCGCAAUGCCCGAAAGGGUGACGAAGCGACGCCGCGUGGGUGAGGAAGGCCCUCGGGUUGUAAAGCCCUGUCAGGAGUUAAGAAAUGUAGGUACGCUAAUAUCGUAUCUAUUUGACAAAGGCUCCAAAGGAAGCCACGGCUAACUCUGUGCCAGCAGCCGCGGUAAUACAGAGGUGGCAAGCGUUGUUCGGAAUUAUUGGGCGUAAAGAGCACGUAGGUGGAUUUGUAAGUCAGAUGUGAAAGCCUUCUGUUCAACGGGAGAAUUGCAUCUGAAACUACAAACCUUGAGUGUAGGAGGGGAGAAUGGAACUUCUGGUGGAGCGGUGAAAUGCGUAGAUAUCAGAAGGAACGCCGGCGGCGAAAGCGAUUCUCUGGCCUAUUACUGACACUCAGUGUGCGAAAGCUAGGGGAGCAAACGGGAUUAGAUACCCCGGUAGUCCUAGCCGUAAACGAUGGGCACUAAGUAGAGGGGUUUU